CCUGACACUUGCCCCACUUUGCCAAUAGGCUGCCUUGCACCCCAACUGCUCAUCCAGUCAGCCAGCCACCUAACCCUUCCUAGCCUAUCUCACGCACCCACACCCUGUCCCAACGCACGCACAGCCUCCUUCCUGUUCCUUGGAAACCCAUUAUGAAUGUUAAGAAAAAGAAUACAGAGGUAGAUCAAAACAGGUUAAGCAGACGUGCUCUCUCCUCAAGGAAAAGGAGAGAAAGCAGAGGACAAAGGAAGGCCGAGGGAACCGAGGGCUCGGACCAGAUGGAAAGCAUUGGGCUGUAGGCCAAGAGAUCCACGUUCAUCCUGGAGAGACGACUAGCAGCUGUGCCACCUUAAAUGAGUUGCCCCUCCACGCCUUAGCGACCAUAUCUGAUAACUCUUACUUCGAAGAACUGCUGUAUUAAAAAGACUGUAUGUGCAGUAACAUAUUUUUCUUUUCUUCUCCGCUACUUGGAUCAGCAACGUAUUUUAAAGUAUACAGUAAAUGGCGACUUUUAUUA
Molecule: non-coding RNA, 517 nt
Organism: Macaca mulatta (Rhesus monkey)
Lineage: Eukaryota; Metazoa; Chordata; Mammalia; Primates; Cercopithecidae
Source: RefSeq, a predicted model, not a curated record